Podarcis lilfordi (Lilford's wall lizard) is the source of this 75-nucleotide non-coding RNA. Lineage: Eukaryota; Metazoa; Chordata; Lepidosauria; Squamata; Lacertidae. The record is from the annotation of a GenBank genome assembly.
GGAAGCGCCCCAGCUCAGUGGGAGAGCACCUGCUUUGCAUGCAGAAGGUCCCGGGUUCAAUCCCCUGCAUUUCCA